UACGUAGGGGGCGAGCGUUGUCCGGAUUCAUUGGGCGUAAAGCGCGUGCAGGCGGCCUGGUAAGUCGGCCGUGAAAGCGCCAGGCUUAACCUGGCGAGGUCGGGCGAGACUGCUAGGCUGGAGGCCGGUAGAGGGCGGUGGAAUUCCGGGUGUAGUGGUGGAAUGCGUAGAGAUCCGGAGGAACACCAGUGGCGAAGGCGGCCGCCUGGGCCGGUCCUGACGCUGAGACGCGAAAGCGUGGGGAGCAAUCCGG
This 253-nucleotide ribosomal RNA is filed under the name uncultured bacterium. Its description in RNAcentral is "partial 16S ribosomal RNA". It matches the Rfam family "Bacterial small subunit ribosomal RNA", at positions 524 to 776 of the family's 1533-position model. The record is from RNAcentral.